UAAUAGUGUAUAUUAAAGUUGUUGCAGUUAAAAAGCUCGUAGUUGAAUGUUGGUGUCGAACGAGCGGUCAGCUUCGGCUGUACUGCUCUCUCGACUCCUUCCUUCUGUGGACUACGUCACACUUUACUGUGUGGCGCUAGGACGCAGAUCGUUUACUGUGAAAAAAUUAGAGUGUUCAAAGCAGGCCGUACGCUUGAAUACAUUAGCAUGGAAUAAUGGAAUAGGACGUCGGGCCUAUUUUGUUGGUUCUAGGACCGUCGUAAUGAUUAAUAGGGACAGUUGGGGCCGUUUAUAUUCCGUAGUCAGAGGUGAAAUUCUUGGAUUUACGGAAGAUAAACUACUGCGAAAGCAUUCGGCAAGGAUGUUUUCGUUA
This 373-nucleotide ribosomal RNA is filed under the name uncultured eukaryote. RNAcentral's name for it is "partial 18S ribosomal RNA". It matches the Rfam family "Eukaryotic small subunit ribosomal RNA", at positions 592 to 975 of the family's 1831-position model. The record is from RNAcentral.